UUAAGUUCAGCGGGUAUCCCUACCUGAUCCGAGGUCAAAGACGGUGGUCAUCUUGCUGGAUCGCGUCCCGGGAGCCGCCCUCGAGAAGCGCAAUGUGCUGCGCGAGAGGGGGCAAAGGAACGCUGCCAAUGGAUUUGGGGCGAGUCCACGCGCGGGGGCGGGGACAGACGCCCAACACCAAGCAGAGCUUGAGGGUGUAG
This 200-nucleotide unclassified non-coding RNA is filed under the name fungal sp. RNAcentral describes it as "partial internal transcribed spacer 2". Lineage: Eukaryota; Fungi. The record is from RNAcentral.